AGCCUCUGGCUAUAGGAAAUUGUUAGUGGCAGACGGGUGAGUAAUGCGUAGGAAUCUACCUAGUAGUACGGAAUAGCCAUUAGAAAUGGUGGGUAAUACUGUAUAAUCCCCGAGGGGGAAAGAUUUAUCGCUAUUAGAUGAGCCUACGUUAGAUUAGCUAGUUGGUGAGGUAAUGGCUUACCAAGGCUAUGAUCUAUAGCUGGUCUGAGAGGACGAUCAGCCACACUGGAACUGAGAUACGGUCCAGACUCCUACGGGAGGCAGCAGUGGGGAAUAUUGGACAAUGGGCGAAAGCCUGAUCCAGCUAUGCCGCGUGAGUGAAGAA
Molecule: ribosomal RNA, 325 nt
Filed under: uncultured Ehrlichia sp.
Lineage: Bacteria; Pseudomonadati; Pseudomonadota; Alphaproteobacteria; Rickettsiales; Anaplasmataceae
Description: bacterial SSU rRNA
Rfam family: Bacterial small subunit ribosomal RNA
Source: RNAcentral